CAGCCAUAUUACUUUGGAACACCGGUUCCGGUACGAUCACCAAAGUUAAGCAACUCCGAACAUAUUUAUUACCUAGAUGGGUGACUGCUUGAAAAUAUCAGGUGCUGUAAG
This is a non-coding RNA of Acanthosepion pharaonis, 111 nucleotides long. The record is from the annotation of a GenBank genome assembly. Lineage: Eukaryota; Metazoa; Mollusca; Cephalopoda; Sepiida; Sepiidae.